RNAcentral lists this ribosomal RNA (62 nucleotides) under Pseudodesulfovibrio sp. S3. RNAcentral describes it as "partial 16S ribosomal RNA". The record is from RNAcentral. Lineage: Bacteria; Pseudomonadati; Thermodesulfobacteriota; Desulfovibrionia; Desulfovibrionales; Desulfovibrionaceae.
CAAGUUUAUCAACUGGAGAGUUUGAUCCUGGCUCAGAUUGAACGCUGGCGGCGUGCUUAACA